GUCUAGCCUGCUCACUGAUUUUUUAAAGAGCCGCGGUAUUUUGACCGUGCAAAGGUAGCCUAAUCAUUAGUCUCUUAAUUAGAGGCUGGAAUGAAUGGCUUGACAAGAAAUUAACUGUCUCUUAUUAAAUUAUAUAAUUUAACUUUUGAGUUAAAAGGCUUAAAUUUUUCUUUAGGACGAGAAGACCCUAUAGAGCUUGACAUUUAUAGUUAUAUAUAAUUUUAAGUUAGUCUUUUUAUAUUUAAUUCAAAUGUUUUGUUGGGGUGACAUAAAGAAUUAAGAAACUCUUUAUUAUUAAAUCACUAAUUUGUGUUUUUUUUGAUCCAYAAUUUAUGAUC
Molecule: ribosomal RNA, 338 nt
Filed under: Eritettix simplex
Lineage: Eukaryota; Metazoa; Arthropoda; Insecta; Orthoptera; Acrididae
Description: partial 16S ribosomal RNA
Rfam family: Archaeal large subunit ribosomal RNA (bases 1-163)
Source: RNAcentral